Long non-coding RNA from Lolium perenne, 2750 nucleotides. RefSeq lists it as uncharacterized. Lineage: Eukaryota; Viridiplantae; Streptophyta; Magnoliopsida; Poales; Poaceae. The record is from RefSeq and is a predicted model, not a curated record.
AGAUCUUUAUGUACCUUUGGAGACGAGCAGAGCCAGUCCCUCCUCUUCAUUCCUCCCGUCUUCGUCUUCAAUUGCCGCUCCGCUCACUCCCGGGGUCGUCCCCUUCUGCUUCGACUCAAAGCAGGUCCAGAACGACGGCCACGGGGAUAGGGGAAGACGGGCUGGUAAUGAGGACGGAGCAGCUGACGUCGCCAUCCCGAGCAUGGCCGAGGGCGGCUGCUGCACGCCGGCCACCAGGACGUGCCGCCAAUUUCCUGGCGCGGGUGGGUGCGAGAUGUGGCAGCGCCUCCUUCCACGCGUGUUUCUGCGCCCGGACGCCUCGGCUCCGUCCCGGCCAUCUCCGCCGGUGGGAACAAGGCAGUCGCCGCGCAGCAGUAGGGAGGGAUUAGGCUAGCAAAGUGGCAUCAUGAUGGGGACCGACGUCUGUUCUUCACAGAUGUUGUAUCUGCCCAGGUACAAGAGCGGCGGCAAGGAGGUCAUGGUGCUACCUUACACACCAAUGCCAUCUUCAUCAGUAACAACGACAAAUUCUGCGUGGGUCGGCUGCAGGGUGUUCUCAAGAAGGCUGGUGGUCUUGGAGGCUGCCACUGGUUGUUGAGCCUUGCAUUCGAUUAUUUAGGCGUCUUGCUGAAACUUUGCUAGAAUAUUUUGGUGGCACUUGUACCUGUCCUGGAUACUGAAGGUGCUUUAGAGAUGAAAAAGGGCCAUUGGAGAGAUGUACAUGCUGAAGAUAUGUGCAUGGAGAUGUCUAACUUGAGAACUUCCUUCUCUGCCCACCUUGCCCAGGAACCAUGGUGUUGUGGCUGGCUUGUUCGCUGGCGCGCAUGUUCAUCUGUAGCAUUAUGUGUGGCGCUCCAUCGAGCUCGCUAGAUCGUGUCACGCGCAUGGCCAAGGGAGGGUGUUGCACGCCAGCGACAUGGUCCUAGCCAUCAGGACGAGGUGACGGCGACGUGAGUCACUGUGGGCUGUUGUCCGCCACAUGCUGCAAAGAGUGCCAUGAACCAGAUGGCCGAGGGAGUGCGCUGGUCCUGCUGGACGGGCACCUCCCUUCUCCGUACAGUACGUGAGGCCGCUCUGCCAUGGCAUGCCAACGCAGGGUCUUAGGUCGUCCCGGCUGCCUCCUUGGACGUGUUUGUCAGGAACAAGGCCGCACCUUUAGCCGGUAGUGUCAAGCUGCUCGCCCUAGGUCCACCGCCACAAGAUGAUGUGGCUGGCGACUUCCACCACCACCUCCUGGAGCUCCUGAUGUAGGCUGAGAUGAUGUGCCAUCGUCUCCCUGCUCCAGCUCUUCCUGCUUAAGACCGAGGAAGUUCUCAUCAUUGCGGGCUUGUCCAAGCACAUAUGGAACCUCUAUGCAGCCGCUUGGACAUAGGCAUUCUCAUAGGUAAGGCCCUGCGCGUUCUCUUCCUUCCCCUCCCCCCCUCGUAGAGUGGAACAUAUUAACAAUUUAUGGCAUGUAUGUAUGCAAGAAAGAACAAAGCAUUGGCUGAGACUUCGUGGUAUAUCUUAGAAUAGUUUUUGGUCAGUAUAUAAAUAAUAUGCAACAUCUAUUUUCAAUAUAUGUUGUAUGCAAUCCAUAGUGAAUACUAUUCAGGUGGACAUGAAAAGCUUCUUCCAUAGAAGAAUUCAGAUGCUAAAUUCUGAUUUUUUGGCAACAAAUAGAAUAUGAGAAAAUCGAAGUUGGAGCUUUACAACCAUUUGGGUAUGAUUCUGAAGCAAAUUGUAGAUAACGCAGUCAUGUUAAAUGUUAAUCUUUUUUUUUUGACCUGGGAGCUCUGGUCCAUUUUAUUUUGUUGAUAUUGGGCAUAUUGAUGGCGAACAGAGAUGAUAAAUGACUAGAUGCUUAAAUGUUUUGGUAAAGCUUGAAAGGUUUAGUCUAGAUUAGAUAUUGAGGUCCUGGAUCGGAGUUAGCAUUAUGUGCUUAUGAACUAGCUACUUCCUUUUUGUCUCUUAUUCACUUGGGACAUCAAUCUGAUUGUGUUGUACGGAGGAAUCACUCAAUCACCACAUAAUGUGUGAUUAAAAAGACUCACCCAAGUGUUGCCUUGUAAGUUAGGAACUUUCCAGUUGCUUAUACCUUGUAUGCACAUUCAUCCCCUUGAUCAUAUGUGUAGCUGUUGUGGCUGCUUACGGAGAGAGCACGCCGAGCUCUCGAUAUGGUUUUAGUCGCCAGAAACCCAUCAUCUCCAUGAAGCAGCGAGGAGGGUCAGGUUGCUGCGAGUGGGACGAGCCUAGAGAUUAACUGGUUGGUCUGCAGCUUAUAGAGAAGUUGCUCAUGGGUCUUAUGACAGGGGAACUUGGUGUGUAUGUGCAAUGUGCUUCUAUUAAGUUCAAACCUGGGCGUGGACAUGCAAGUGUGUCCAAUUAUUGAAGCAGAUCACGUUGUUGUGUUGUUUGUGAAUAUUUUCUCUAUGCAAUGUAGCUAUCUAGCACAUUGGUGUUUGCAUGUUGUGCUGACUGUCUAGUGCACUGGAGUGCUCGGGGAGGAGGCCGGAUAACGACGCGGCUACAGCCUCUCGACUCCUCCUGGUCAGCUUAUGAAUCGUGGCAAGGUUGCUGUCGGCUGCUUUGUUCCGGCACACGGGUUUCAGUUCUUGUAAUGUUUAUCAUAUUGAAUUACGUCUUAGUUUUUGUGCAGACCACAAGUUGCAGCCUUUGUUCUCAGCUGGUGGAUUCUGUACAUCAAAAUUUCACUCACAAGUUGUCGUGUUGUAUGUAUCUAUAUAUUAUUAUCAACUAUUUUGCCGUUU